AGACCCAAUUCAACCACGCUCUACCGUCUCCUGCUCGGUCUCGCUCCUCUCUCUCUCUCUCUUCUCCUCCCACUCCGACCUCGAUCUUCGAGUCCCCGUGCAAGGAUCACGGCAAGAGCGACGCCUCCGUGAAGGAGAAGCUCGCCCGCUUCCGAUCCUUCGAGGACGACAGCUCCUUCGUCGACGAGCACAACGCGGCUGCCAAUUCCUCCUCCACCCUCGCUCUCAAUGCAGUCGCCGGUCUCAUCCACCAUGAGUUCCAGCUCACUUGCUUGGGGCUCAGCGCCCGGCUCGCCACGCCCUGGGAUAACCGGAAGGCGUUUCGGGGAGUUCUUGGCGAUGUUCCGGACUCGAUUGAUUGGUGGAAGGAGGGGCUGUGACCCAUGUUAAGGAUCAGGGCAGCUGCGCAUAGUUUGCAGGACAUAAGAGUUUCCAUAGCUAUACUCAAGUUGAGAGUGCCGCUCUUGGUUGCCAGAUUCAACAAUGAUUUGGAUUUCUCACAGCAACUUGUUAGAUCUAUUGGAGCCCUAUCCAGUUAAUAUAUGUCAAUCUCCAUUGCUAGAUUUGUCACACUAUAACAUUUUUCAAUAGCAAAACAUUGCUAGAUUUCUUUCU
Molecule: long non-coding RNA, 615 nt
Organism: Phoenix dactylifera (date palm)
Lineage: Eukaryota; Viridiplantae; Streptophyta; Magnoliopsida; Arecales; Arecaceae
Source: RefSeq, a predicted model, not a curated record